GGGGGUGACUGUCACUAGUCACUCCCUCCUAACUCUGUCACUGUGUCACCUGCUCCCUCACUCUGUCACUAGUCAUUCCCUCCCUCACUCUGUCACUAAUCACCCCCUCUGUCCUUAGUGACAGAGUGAGAGAGGGGGUGACUAGUGACAUAGUGAGGGAGGGGGUGACUAGUGACAUAGUGAGAGAGGGGGUGACUAGUGACAGAGUGAGGGAGUGGGUGACACAGUAACAGGGUUAGGGAGGGAGUGACUAGUGACAGAGAGAGGAAUGGGGUGACUAGUGACAGUCACCCCCUCUCUCACUCUGUCAUUAGUCACCCCCUCUCUCACUCUGUCAUUAGUCACCCCCUCUCUCACUCUGUCACCAGUCAUCCCUUCCUUCCCUCACUCUGCCACUAGUCAUCCCUUCCCUCACU
Molecule: non-coding RNA, 416 nt
Organism: Pelobates cultripes (western spadefoot toad)
Lineage: Eukaryota; Metazoa; Chordata; Amphibia; Anura; Pelobatidae
Source: the annotation of a GenBank genome assembly